RNAcentral lists this long non-coding RNA (400 nucleotides) under Bos mutus (wild yak). Its description in RNAcentral is "lncRNA (ENSBMUG00000026522.1)". The record is from RNAcentral. Lineage: Eukaryota; Metazoa; Chordata; Mammalia; Artiodactyla; Bovidae.
UUCUAAAGUGUUAUUUUGGAGGUCUGUAUUUUGGGGACUUUUGGAUUAUAGUUUUUUAGUUGUUUCUAAUGGGAGAUGAUAGUAAAAUCCUUGUUAAACUUUUACUAGGUUCCUUUAUAGGUAAUCUCUUUUCUAAUUAAAAAAAUUUUUUUAUUGGAGUGUAGUUGCUUAUAGGCAAUCUCUUAAAGAAGCUAUCUUCUUAUACUAGUUUCUGACCUUGUUCUAUUUUAGAUUCUUUUCCUCUUUUUCAUCAUCUUCAUCGUCCUCUUAGCACCUGUGCGGAAAGCAUGCAGUUACACCCCAAACAUAUCUGGAGUAGAGCAGAAAAAUUAUUAUGCCUGUGUUCCCUUGGGACUCACUGGAAAUUGUACAGUGACAUCUUCUGGGAUUUAGGCUGGAG